GGGCCGCCCGCGAGUGGCGCCGGGAGGCGGUCGCCCUACGCCGCCCGGUAGGCCAACGGGCUCCCGGCCCACAGGCGGAAUCCGCCCGGGGAUGUCGCGGCGUGGGGGAGGGCCGAGAAUUCCCGAGGAAAGACAAGUAGCCCGGGUCGAGUCUCAGAAAAUGCGAGGCUCCUCAUCAGGUCAAGCUCAAGGAGGCCUCCAAGGGACCGGGGGAGGCCAGGAAGACUACACCAUAGAUGCUCAGUAUUGAAAAGCGAUGACAGGAGGAGUUCCCGUCGUGGCUCAGUGGUUAACAUAUCCGACGAGGAACCAUGAGGUUGCGAGUUCGAUCUCUGGCCUCACUCAGUGGGUUAAGGAUCCGGCGUGGCCGUGAGCUGUGGUGUAGGCUGGUGGCUACAGCUCCGAUUCGACCCCUAACCUGGGACCCUCCAUAUGUCACAGGAGCAACCCUGGUCAUGCAGAACCCGAAGUCCCACAAGGCAGGGAGAGCACGGCACGAGUAUGUGUGGACGAUGGAAAGGUGUGACAACGCACUGUGGAGGGGGGAAUAGUGUUAACCUUGGGAUUCACUCUCAGAGUUUGGAAUAGAGAAAAUACUCUCGCCACCCAAUUCUGCAGCACCACAUCUUCCUUCUGUGGACAAAGAAAUGUUUCCCUCGGCCUUUGCCGAGAGAGCUGCACGUUCACGCCUUCUCUCAUGUUUCCUGUCUCUGCCUUCCACACUUGGGUGUGCCAUUCUUUAUCCUCCCAAGGGAUCCCUUAACACAAAACACACUUGCUUUGCAAUCAAAGUGUACUUUAUUCAAGUUGCUUUUACAGUUUUAUCUGUGUCCCAUUCGGUGUCACGCUACAUGGUUUAAAAAUACCAACACCAGGCACGGGAUGUAAAGAAACAUGGUAGAGACACGAGGAGAGAAAGGCUGAGUUAGGGAUGUUCCAGCAGCCAGGGUCUGGGCAUGCAAGGCCCGGCCAUCCACGUCAUCCUGAAAGAGGGAGCGUGACAGAGGUCCCACGGUCAAAGGUACACACCAACGUGAGGCCACAGAAUCCUUGGAAGGAAACUGGCAUGAGGGCAGAUGGUGGUCAGGACUAAAUCCACAGUCCCCUUCUUCAGUCAGGACUGAUGCGGGUGACAGGCCAGGGGGUGAUCCUGGUGGUGGACACCAGGGUGACUGCCUGACGCCAGUGCAUUAAGUUCUACCUCUGCUUAAAGGGGCUUUCCUGUACAUGUGUUUAUUUUAUCGAAAACUAGUUCAAAAGCAAAUGGAUAGAUAACGAUUAUUUAACACACACAUCUUACAUUCUACCAAAAUCUUACAUACCAAGUAGUAAACAUGUAUCAGAACUGAAUACUAAAUCUAGACAAUAAAGAACUAAGCUUAUACUAAAGUUGGCUCGUAACAGAUGAAGAGUGAGGUCGCUCUUGUUUCCUGGUCAAGAUGGAAACCUUCGGACUCUUCCAGUCCCAGGCUGAGGCUUCAAGGUGUCCCAGCGGAGUCUGCAGCACAAACACAGGGACGCCAUCACCGAGGAGGCGCAGAGACAGACGGAAGGAGGGCUCCCCCGGGUGGACGCGUGGCUCCAUCAGGCUCCGCGGGGGCCGGGACCUCCCCAGGGCUCAGAUCCCCAGGGCACUGCCGUCUGUGCUGCGCUUAGCCGAGGGGGUUUUCUGUGAACAAAGAGGGAACAUCACUGUCCUCCAGGAGCGAGUUCCCUGUGCAUUGGGCUGGGCAGCCUUCAAGGGACUGAUCCCUGCACAGGGAAACGGAUGCCGCGGAAAGGGGAGGAUCUUGGGAGGAGCAGGACGUCUGAUAACCCAAGGGAGAGGGGUAGCCAGCCCCUGCAGCCCACACUCUAUACCACCAACCAUGAGCCCUGCGUGGCGGAAACGGACAGAGGUCUGAAGACCUCCUUUUACCCUGAGAAUCCUUUCUACCUCCCAGCCAUUCUCACUUGCGCUCUUCAUGGGGGGGGGGUGUGGGGGGAGACCUGGAGAAAUCAGCCUUCCUGUAUUCAGACUAUACGACAAAGCUACAGUCACUAACCUCUAUGAUCCAGGCACGAAAGCAGCUAAUACUGAUCAGUCAGAAAGCCCAGAAAUAAACCCAAGCACCAAGGGGCAACGGCUCCAUGACAAAGGAGGCAAGAACAUGCAGUGGAGGAAAGACAGGCUCCUCCAUCAGUGGUGCUGGGAAAACCGGACAGGUACCUGUCAAGGAAUGCAGCUAGAACAUUCACUGACACCAUACACAGAAAUAAACUCGAAACGGCUGGACCACCCGCACGUAAGGCCAGAUACUAGAAACCCCCUAGAGCACAACAGGCAGAAUGCUCUUGGACAUACAUCGCAGCAAGACCUUGUUUGAUACGCCUCCUGGAAUAAUGACAAUAAAAACACAACUAAAUCAGCAGGCACUAAUUAAACUCAAAAGCUUCUGCACAGCAAAGGAGACCCUUUAACAAAAAAGAAAAACCCCGCACAAUGGCAGAAAAUAUUUGCACACGAUGCACCCACCAAUGGCUUUAUCUUCAAGGUAGAGAAACAACACACACAACUCAACAACCACCACAAAAACCCAACGCCUCAAUCCAAAGAGAGCCAGAAGACCUAAAGAGACACUUCUCCAGACGAGGCGUAUGCAUGGCCGAUGGGCCCAUGAAGAGAUGCUCAACCUCGCUCAUCACGAGGGGACUGCACAUCAUCCAAACUGCAGCGAGGGACCACCUCACGCCUGUCAGAAAGGCCGUCAUUAAGAAGUCGACACAUAACAAAUGCUGGAGGGGGUGCGGAGAAAGGCGAACCCUCCCACACUGUUGGUGGCAGUGGAAAUCGGUGCGACCACUCUGGAAAACAGUGUGGGGGUUCCUCAGAAAACUCAAUACACUACUACCCUAUGUGAUCCAGCGAUCCCACUCCUAGGCCUCUCUCCAGACAAAACUUUCACUCAAAAAGACACAUGCUCCUGUAUGUUCGUGGCACAAGUCACAAGAGCCAAGGCAUGGAAGCAACCUAAAUGUCCACCAACAGACGGAUGGGUGAAGACGAUGGGGUACACAAAGACAGUGUCAUGCCGCUCAGCUGGGUACAGGAAAGCAACAAUGCCACUGGCAGCAACAGGGAUGCCACUACAGUUAUCACGGCACGUGACCUAAGUCAGAAAGACAAUGACAAAUACCACAUGACAUCACGUACACGCGGAAGCAAAGAUACGGCACAAAGGGACAUAUCUCCAGAACAGAAACGGACUCACAGAUCUGGAGGACAGACGUGUGGGGAGCCAAGGGGGAGGGGAGAGGAAGUGGGAUGGCCUGGGAGUUUGGGCUUGGCCGAUGCAAACGCUUACAUUUAGGAUGGAUAAGCAAUGAGGCCCUACGCGGUAGCACAGGGAACUGGAUCCGGUCUCUUGGGAGAGAACACAAUG
RNAcentral lists this long non-coding RNA (3422 nucleotides) under Sus scrofa (pig). Its description in RNAcentral is "lncRNA (ENSSSCG00055028852.1)". Lineage: Eukaryota; Metazoa; Chordata; Mammalia; Artiodactyla; Suidae. The record is from RNAcentral.